CCCGCUGAGUUUAAGCAUAUAAAUAAGCGGAGGAGAAGAAACUUACGAGGAUUCCUAACUAGAAAAAAUACUAACUCUGGGA
This 82-nucleotide ribosomal RNA is filed under the name Oryza sativa Indica Group (long-grained rice). RNAcentral's name for it is "rRNA LSU_rRNA_eukarya". Lineage: Eukaryota; Viridiplantae; Streptophyta; Magnoliopsida; Poales; Poaceae. The record is from RNAcentral.